Molecule: non-coding RNA, 74 nt
Organism: Stegodyphus mimosarum
Lineage: Eukaryota; Metazoa; Arthropoda; Arachnida; Araneae; Eresidae
Source: Rfam
ACCUUCGUGGUGUAGUGGUCAGCACACUCGGCCCGUGUUCGAGAGGUCCGUGGUUCGAGUCCCGGCCGAGGGUA